RNAcentral lists this non-coding RNA (88 nucleotides) under Streptomyces sp. RNAcentral describes it as "ZTP sequence". It matches the Rfam family "ZMP/ZTP riboswitch aptamer (pfl RNA motif)". From Rfam's summary of the family: Previously known as pfl RNA. ZMP is also known as AICAR. Lineage: Bacteria; Bacillati; Actinomycetota; Actinomycetes; Kitasatosporales; Streptomycetaceae. The record is from RNAcentral.
UCAGCGGGCCGUGACUGGCGCGCUGGGAUGGGACGGACCAUCGGGGAGCGGCUCCAGCGGGAAAGUGCCGUGCGCCUGGGCCGAACGU